AAAGGCGUGGUCGUUUCCUUCCUCGAGAAGACAGAGAGAGGACGCACGCCACCUCCUCCCCACCUUCGCCAGAUACGACCGCCCAUUCAUCGCCGCCACCCAUCGCGUCGCCCGCCCCCGCCCGCAACCUUCUCUCGUCUUCCACCCAUCCUCGCCGCGCCAUCGCACUCCCGCAAUCCUGUUAGCCUCUCUCCCUGACAUGGCUUCACUUCCCGGUGCGAAACCCUAGCGGCGGCAGCGGCGGCGGCGGCGGCGGCGGAUUGGUGUGGGAGGUGGUUAGACGGCGGCCUCAGGCAGGGGCAUACUGUAGGUGGCUCGACAGUCGCCUGGCAGGCUGUAUAGGCAGCGGAGGUGGAGGUCGUGCGAGGCGGCUCUUCCGCCGAUCCGUUCGUUCGAGUCCUUGGUUGCUGCGUUGACUUUCCUGGCUGCCGCCAUGCUAGCAAGCACGGCCACUGCGACGUCUUCUCUGGUGCUACCGGCAAGCAGCCGACCACAGCACUGCCAUGCCUCCGAUGCUCCAUGGUAGCCGCCCCUACAUCUCCACUCAGAAAGGAAAAUGCUGGAGCCAAUGGAUGUUUAGUGGGACUACGUUCUGAUUUGACAAAGCUAAAGGAAGCAUACAUCACAAAUUUCUAUCGGAAAGAGAAUAUGGGGAUGGUGUUUCAUUCUUGGCCAGCUGCGGUUGCUGGCAGUGGAGGAGCAGCAGCGGCCGAUGGCGGCGGACCAGAUCGGCGUAUCAUGGGAGCGGCCACGACGACCGUCACGAGUGGAGCAGAGCCAAGUUGGCGCGGCGGCCGGGCGCGAUCUGGAGAACCGAUGAGUGUGGUGCGCUAUCGAGGCAGUCGCGACUUGCGCGAGUUGGAGGCGAGGUGACGGUGUUGACUGGGACGCCGUCGCUGAUCCUCAUCGUGCCGGCGGGCGAGGAGCUCGUUGAGGAUCUCCUCUUCUCCAGGGAUCCACGACGGAGGUGCUCGAGGAGGAAGUUCUUCUCGGAUGCCAUGGAAAUUGUCAAGUGAUGAUUUUUGCAGAAGCACAUGCUGAUGGUGCCCUUGCCUUUGGGAUUAAAGAAGACCAGCUUACAACACUGACCAGAGAUCAUAAAUACUCUACUCUGCAGCAGUAUGAAUGGGGCUAGCAAAUAUGUUAAAGACAAAUACAGAGAAGUGGGUCAGGGGAGUGGCUUCCAAUAUUGAUGCGAGAAAAAAAUGCCUUUUGGUCGAACACAUACCCCUAUAAGAAAGGAAGAAGCUCCUUGGUAAUGGAGAUGCUAUGUCAGGCUCUGACUGGCACACAAAACUUUGAAAUGAGCAAAAUCAUCUCAUAUCCAGUGAUUUGCCAUGGUUUAUGAUAGAUUGCUAUGAAGAAUGUCGAGACCCACCACGACUUUACCUUCUCGACAGAUUUGAUAAUGCUGGUGUUGGGACUUGUUUGAAGAGAUAUUCUGAUCCGUCAUACUUCAAGAAAUCAUUGGAUGUGAUGAGAGCAGACAAGACUGCACAUCUCCAAAAAGAAAGGAGAUCUCACAAAAUCAAGGAUUCGCGGUUGAUUUCAGGGGAGAUCACUAUUGUGAGGAAAUCAAGAAGUUGAGAGUUGGCUGGACUAUGUGAGGAAGCGGGUUCAGGAGCUCAAAGCCAACAACAACCAGGGCUUGGCAAAAGAUUCCUUACAAGCACUUAAGAAGAUAUCCCAGGAGUGUCCAACUGCCUGCUUGAGGGCUGACGCACUAAUUGCAGUGCCGUCAUAUCUUGACUUCUUCUCCAUCGGUGUUCAAGAAGCUUCCUUGAGAUGCCUCAGAUUUCGUAAUGGAAGCGGUUCAACUGCUAACAAAUUUUCUCAACUACCAUGAUGCAAAAGUGUUGGAACAUGUUUCCAUUUGCCUGACUCGUAUAGCAGAAUCGUUUGCUUCGUCUUCAAAGAAACUGGAUCAAUUUUGCAAGCAUGGAUUGGUUGCACAAGCGGCUAGCUUAAUAGCUGUUAGCAGCGGGACAAGCAUCACUGAGUACAUUAACAUAUACAUUAUGCUUCUAUUUCACUCUUUAUUGCUACUGUAUCAUUUAUGCAAAUUUGCUAACUCUGGCUCAUAUAUCCUUGAAGGGAGUAAUUCGUGUUUUGUCAAUAUGUGCAGGUGGAUCUCCAUUGGCAGCUAAAAUACUCCAUGGAAUUAGCGGCACACUUAAAGUUAUCCUUGCGGGUGCUGGACGCUGAGGACCAGGAAGUGGUGGAACUGUCAGUCCGUCCACGUUCUAAAGCUGUAUUUGUUUGUAUUUGUGCACACCGUAAAAUAGCUAAGUUGCAGGUUGUUAGGAGUACUGUGCUGCAGUUCCACUUAUAUGGAAAGAGACGAUAUUCAUUUUCA
Triticum urartu is the source of this 2356-nucleotide long non-coding RNA. RefSeq lists it as uncharacterized. The record is from RefSeq and is a predicted model, not a curated record. Lineage: Eukaryota; Viridiplantae; Streptophyta; Magnoliopsida; Poales; Poaceae.